RNAcentral lists this unclassified non-coding RNA (248 nucleotides) under plant metagenome. RNAcentral's name for it is "partial contains small subunit ribosomal RNA and internal transcribed spacer 1". The record is from RNAcentral.
AAGUCGGUAACAAGGUUUCCGAUAAGGUGGAACCGUGCGGAAGGAUCCAAUUGACAUUUAGGGUAGCCGUAGCUGCUAUCAGUGGGGUUCGUUAGCCUGCAUAGCUUAAUCGCUGAUGAGCAGCAGACCCCCUGUUUGUACCCUUGUUUUUGCGUACCAAAGUUUCCUCGGCGGGCUUGCUCGCCGGAUGGACAAUACUAUAACCUUUUUAAUAUUCAAUCAGCGUCUGAAAACUUGAAUAAUUACAA